This 483-nucleotide ribosomal RNA is filed under the name uncultured bacterium. RNAcentral describes it as "partial 16S ribosomal RNA". It matches the Rfam family "Bacterial small subunit ribosomal RNA", at positions 29 to 506 of the family's 1533-position model. The record is from RNAcentral.
AUUGAACGCUGGCGGCAGGCCUAACACAUGCAAGUCGAGCGGAUGAAGGGAGCUUGCUCCUGGAUUCAGCGGCGGACGGGUGAGUAAUGCCUAGGAAUCUGCCUGGUAGUGGGGGAUAACGUCCGGAAACGGGCGCUAAUACCGCAUACGUCCUGAGGGAGAAAGUGGGGGAUCUUCGGACCUCACGCUAUCAGAUGAGCCUAGGUCGGAUUAGCUAGUUGGUGGGGUAAAGGCCUACCAAGGCGACGAUCCGUAACUGGUCUGAGAGGAUGAUCAGUCAACCGGGAACGGAGAAACGGUCCAGACCCCUAGGGGGGGCAGGAGGGGGGAAUUUUGGAAAAUGGGCGAAAGCCUGAUCCAGCCAGGCCGGGUGGGGGAAGAAGGUUUGCGGUUUGUAAAGCACUUUAAGUUGGGAGAAAGGGCAGUAAGUUAAAACCUUGCUGUUUUGACGUUACCAACAAAAUAAGCACCGGCUAACUCCGG